GAUGAACGCUGGCGGCGUGCCUAAUACAUGCAAGUCGAGCGGACCGACGGGAGCUUGCUCCCUUAGGUCAGCGGCGGACGGGUGAGUAACACGUGGGUAACCUGCCUGUAAGACUGGGAUAACUCCGGGAAACCGGGGCUAAUACCGGAUGCUUGAUUGAACCGCAUGGUUCAAUCAUAAAAGGUGGCUUUCAGCUACCACUUACAGAUGGACCCGCGGCGCAUUAGCUAGUUGGUGAGGUAACGGCUCACCAAGGCGACGAUGCGUAGCCGACCUGAGAGGGUGAUCGGCCACACUGGGACUGAGACACGGUCCAAACUCCUACGGGAGGCAGCAGUGGGGAAUAUUGCACAAUGGGCGAAAGCCUGAUGCAGCAACGCCGCGUGAGCGAUGAAGGCCUUCGGGUCGUAAAGCUCUGUCCUCAAGGAAGAUAAUGACGGUACUUGAGGAGGAAGCCCCGGCUAACUACGUGCCAGCAGCCGCGGUAAUACGUAGGGGGCUAGCGUUAUCCGGAAUUACUGGGCGUAAAGGGUGCGUAGGCGGUCUUUCAAGCCAGAAGUGAAAGGCUACGGCUCAACCGUAGUAAGCUUUUGGAACUGUAGGACUUGAGUGCAAGAGAGGAGAGUGGAAUUCCUAGUGUAGCGGUGAAAUGCGUAGAUAUUAGGAGGAACACCAGUAGCGAAGGCGGCUCU
This 692-nucleotide ribosomal RNA is filed under the name uncultured Peptostreptococcaceae bacterium. RNAcentral's name for it is "bacterial SSU rRNA". It matches the Rfam family "Bacterial small subunit ribosomal RNA", at positions 28 to 728 of the family's 1533-position model. The record is from RNAcentral. Lineage: Bacteria; Bacillati; Bacillota; Clostridia; Peptostreptococcales; Peptostreptococcaceae.